CUACGGGGGGCUGCAGUAAGGAAUAUUGCGCAAUGGAGGCAACUCUGACGCAGCCAUGCCGCGUGCAGGAAGAAGGCCUUAUGGGUCGUAAACUGCUUUUAUUUAGGAAUAAACCCCCGAACGUGUUCGGGGCUGAAGGUACUAAACGAAUAAGCACCGGCUAACUCCGUGCCAGCAGCCGCGGUAAUACGGAGGGUGCAAGCGUUAUCCGGAUUUAUGUGGUUUAAAGGGUGCGCAGGCGGGCUAUUAAGUCAGUGGUGAAAUCCCGGGGCUCAACUCCGGAACUGCCAUUGAUACUGAUAGUCUUGAGUGUGGUUGAAGUGGGCGGAAUGUAGCAUGUAGCGGUGAAAUGCAUAGAUAUGCUACAGAACACCAAUCGCGAAGGCAGCUCACUAAGCCAAAACUGACGCUCAUGCACGAAAGCGUGGGGAUCAAACAGGAUUAGAUACCCUCGUAGUC
This 459-nucleotide ribosomal RNA is filed under the name uncultured bacterium. Its description in RNAcentral is "partial 16S ribosomal RNA". It matches the Rfam family "Bacterial small subunit ribosomal RNA", at positions 339 to 795 of the family's 1533-position model. The record is from RNAcentral.